RNAcentral lists this transfer RNA (77 nucleotides) under Candidatus Lloydbacteria bacterium RIFCSPHIGHO2_02_FULL_50_11. Its description in RNAcentral is "tRNA-Arg". It matches the Rfam family "tRNA". From Rfam's summary of the family: Transfer RNA (tRNA) molecules are approximately 80 nucleotides in length. Their secondary structure includes four short double-helical elements and three loops (D, anti-codon, and T loops). Further hydrogen bonds mediate the characteristic L-shaped molecular structure. tRNAs have two regions of fundamental functional importance: the anti-codon, which is responsible for specific mRNA codon recognition, and the 3' end, to which the tRNAs corresponding amino acid is attached (by aminoacyl-tRNA synthetases). tRNAs cope with the degeneracy of the genetic code in two manners: having more than one tRNA (with a specific anti-codon) for a particular amino acid; and 'wobble' base-pairing, i.e. permitting non-standard base-pairing at the 3rd anti-codon position. RNAcentral also lists the same sequence under 3 other names. The record is from RNAcentral. Lineage: Bacteria; Candidatus Lloydiibacteriota.
GCCCCCGUAGCUCAGUUGGAUAGAGCAGCAGGUUUCUAACCUGUUGGCCGCAGGUUCGAGUCCUGCCGGGGGUACCA